UACGAAGGGGGCUAGCGUUGCUCGGAAUUACUGGGCGUAAAGGGCGCGUAGGCGGAUACUUAAGUCGGGGGUGAAAGCCCAGGGCUCAACCCUGGAACAGCCUUCGAUACUGCCAAGCUAGAGUCCUGGAGAGGAUGGUGGAACUCUCGGUGUAGAGGUGAAAUUCGUAGAUAUCGAGAAGAACACCGGUGGCGAAGGCGGCCAUCUGGACGGUGACUGACGCUGAGACGCGAAAGCGUGGGGAGCAAACAGG
Molecule: ribosomal RNA, 253 nt
Filed under: uncultured bacterium
Lineage: Bacteria
Description: partial 16S ribosomal RNA
Rfam family: Bacterial small subunit ribosomal RNA
Source: RNAcentral